Molecule: ribosomal RNA, 159 nt
Filed under: uncultured Methanosaeta sp.
Lineage: Archaea; Methanobacteriati; Methanobacteriota; Methanomicrobia; Methanotrichales; Methanotrichaceae
Description: partial 16S ribosomal RNA
Rfam family: Archaeal small subunit ribosomal RNA
Source: RNAcentral
GCUACAAUGGUUGGUACAAUGGGUAUCUACCCCGAAAGGGGACGGGAAUCUCCUAAAACCAAUCUUAGUUCGGAUUGAGGGCUGCAACUCGCCCUCAUGAAGCUGGAAUCCGUAGUAAUCGCGUUUCAACAGAACGCGGUGAAUACGUCCCUGCUCCUU